CGUAGGGUGCGAGCGUUAAUCGGAAUUACUGGGCGUAAAGCGUGCGCAGGCGGUUCGUCGUGUCCGAUGUGAAAGCCCCGGGCUCAACCUGGGAAUGGCAUUGGAAACUGGCGGACUCGAGUGUGGCAGAGGGGGUGGAAUUCCGCGUGUAGCAGUGAAAUGCGUAGAGAUGCGGAGGAACACCGAUGGCGAAGGCAGCCCCCUGGGCUAACACUGACGCUCAGGCACGAAAGCGUGGGGAGCAAACAGGAUUAGAUACCCUGGUAGUCCACGCCCUAAACCAUGUCAACUGGGUGUUCGGGAAGCGAUUCCUGAGUACCGUAGCUAACGCGUGAAGUUGACCGCCUGGGGAGUACGGCCGCAAGGUUA
Molecule: ribosomal RNA, 369 nt
Filed under: uncultured organism
Description: bacterial SSU rRNA
Rfam family: Bacterial small subunit ribosomal RNA
Source: RNAcentral